RNAcentral lists this long non-coding RNA (1597 nucleotides) under Bos indicus x Bos taurus (hybrid cattle). RNAcentral describes it as "lncRNA (ENSBIXG00005005371.1)". The stretch from base 1048 to 1111 matches the Rfam family "Selenocysteine insertion sequence 1". The record is from RNAcentral. Lineage: Eukaryota; Metazoa; Chordata; Mammalia; Artiodactyla; Bovidae.
GAGGAGUUUAGAGAACAAAAAUCAAUGCAGCAACGUAUUAUAAUUACCACCAAAUGAUACUGCAUGACUUUAAGUGCUUAAAGAAUUCAGCCAACAUAAAAUACACUAUUGCAAUAUUAUGAAUGUGCUCAUGCACUGGAAGAUGAAGACGUCUGUAAAAAUGUAUUUCUGGCUACCAAGGAGAAAACAGCUGAGGCUUCACAGCGACAUCACCACCCCCACCCCCACUCCCACCCCCACCCCCACCCCCAUCCCCAUCCCCACCCCCACCCCCAUCCCCAUCAUGGGCAUCAGCUUCAUGAAAAUGCUCAUCUUUCAGAGUCUCCAAAACCAGACACACCAGAUACCCCUGAGAAUCCCCCUCCUUCAGGUCUUCAUCACCACCACCACAGGCACAAGGGUCCCCAAAGACAGGGUCACUCAGAUAACUGUGAUACACCAGUAGGAAGUGAAAGUUUACAACCUUCUCUUCCACAAAAGAAGCUCUGACGAAAGAGAUGCAUAAAUCAGUUACUCUGACAGUUUCCCAAAGAUUCAGAAUCUGCUUUGAGUAGCUGCUGUUGCCACUGUCGACAUCUGGUAUUUGAAAAAACAGGGUCUGCAAUCACCUGACAGUGUACAGAAAAGCUCCCCUCUUUGUGUAGCUGACAGGGCCUUUUGGCGGAGGAGAAUGUCAUUGAAUCUUGACAGUGACGUUUGCCUCCAGCUGCCUGACAGGCAGCAGGUCAGCAGCUCAACCCCACAGAAGCCAGCACCAAGUGAAGCUGAAAAAAUAAGGCCAAAAUGUGAAAAUGACCUUCAAAUUAAAUAUAUGAAAUUGGAUAUAUUCCCCAAGUCAAUCUACACAAUUGCAUUUCCAGCAUUUGUAUAAGGUACCUAAUUAACAGUGAUCCAAAAAUAGGAAUUGGAUUUGUGCAAACAUGGAGAAAUUGACUUCCAUAAAAUUUAAGUCAAAGAAAUUUUGACCCAAACCAUAUUUUUAUUCAGCUGAGAGGUGGUUGCAGCGUUUGGUUAGCAUGUCUUUCUUUUUCUUUUUCCAGUAUUCUACUUGCGUUAAUGAGAACAGAAACGUAAACUAUAACCUAGGGGUUUCUGUUGGAUGGUUGGCAACUAAGAAUGGAGGAAGAACAACAAAGACAUGUUCUCCACUUUCUUAUUUCUCAAAACAAUGUUAUCUUCGUCUUUUUAAUCUUAGGUUUUUAACAGAUUAAACCUUUAAAGCAAGAAGUGAAUUCUGUCUUUUCAGACCCAGAAAUACACAUGAAUACUUUGCUAUGAUUACAUUUUAGAUAUUCAUUUAUACUUUUCUAUAUCUAAGACUCAUAUCUUGAUUUUUACUAUCAUAUAUGAAUGAAGCCUUUAUAUCUUGUUUUUUUGCCAAUCUUGAAAGAUAGAUGGGAAAAGAUAAAAGAAUGUUGUCUAACUCUUGAUUGCUUAGAAAGUAUUUCCAUAGUCAAUGAUGGUUCAAUAGGCAAACCAGGUCCUAUAAACCUGAAUUUUUUUUAUGGUCAAUACUGUUAAGCAGAAAUGUAGAACAGGACUGGCAAAAAUGUGGAUGUUUAAAUUCAAUAAAAAAGUUUAAAGCUUUUUGUUUUCA